GUUCUGUGGGAAUUAGAGGUAAACACCUCCCUUGAACGUGAGUUCUCAUAGUAUAAGCGAUGUCCGUUGGAGAGCCUGAUGAUGUCCCACCACGAUGCAACGGCUCUCCUGGCUGGGGCUAGUGGAAGCAGUUUUGAUGGAAGUUAAGGAUUUGCAACUUAGAGGAUUUCUGGGAUAAUUCUCUUAAAGUAGUGACUUCACCAACAGGAAUUCCAGGCCCCCUGGUGUGCCAGCUCAAGGGAUAAGCAGAGUAUGUCGGGUUCCCAGGUGCCAAUGAACAGAGAAAUAGCCAAAGGGCUCGCUGAGUGGGAGCAGAGAUGACGUGAAACAAGGUCCCAGCUUGAACACUCUGAGUUUUGAACAGAUAUGUCUGAGAGGACAUCUGCCAGAAGCCUAUUUGCAUGAGGAACUUAGAAACCUCCAGGAGAAAGCUCAGACUGAAGGAAAGAGGAGUCGGCUUGCCAACUGCAAGGCACCAGACAAUAAAUAAUGCCUUAGUGGUCAAUGGAAAGGUUGGGAUUUUUAGAACCUAUGGUUCCCAGUGCUUAGCUUUGUCUCCAUGUCCAACACCCCCAUGUGAAUCCUACAGAAAGUUGUGGGGCAGAGGGGCAAAAAAAAUAAAGCUAUGUUUCCCUAAAAAAUCUCUAGUAUUUAGGGAUAUCAAGGCACACUGUCUUGGUCCAUUCAGGCUGCUGUAAAAAAUACUUUAGACCAAGUGAUAUGCAAACAGCUGAAAUUUAUUGCUCACAGUUGUGGGGCUGGGAAGUCCAAGAUUAAAGUGCCUGUAGAUUCUGUGUCUGGUGAGGGCCUGUUCCUCACAGUGGCUCCGUCUCCUGUGUUCUCCCACGGUGGAAAGGGCAAAUGAG
Molecule: long non-coding RNA, 866 nt
Filed under: Homo sapiens (human)
Lineage: Eukaryota; Metazoa; Chordata; Mammalia; Primates; Hominidae
Description: HSALNT0380486
Source: RNAcentral